CCUACGGGAGGCAGCAGUGAGGAAUAUUGCGCAAUGGGCGAAAGCCUGACGCAGCGACGCCGCGUGGGCGACGAAGGCCUUCGGGUUGUAAAGCCCUUUUGGCAGGGACGAGUGAGGACGGUACCUGCCGAAUAAGUCUCGGCUAACUACGUGCCAGCAGCCGCGGUAAAACGUAGGAGGCGAGCGUUAUCCGGAUUUACUGGGCGUAAAGCGCGCGUAGGCGGUCGGUCAAGUCAGAUGUUAAAGCCCUUGGCUCAACUAGGGGAGGUCAUUUGAUACUGUCCGGCUGGAGGGUGAGAGAGGAGAGUGGAAUUCCCGGUGUAGCGGUGGAAUGCGUAGAGAUCGGGAGGAACACCAGUGGCGAAGGCGGCGCCCUGGGCCGAUACUGACGCUGAGGUGCGAAAGCGUGGGGAGCAAACAGGAUUAGAUACCCCAGUAGU
This 440-nucleotide ribosomal RNA is filed under the name uncultured Anaerolineae bacterium. RNAcentral's name for it is "partial 16S ribosomal RNA". It matches the Rfam family "Bacterial small subunit ribosomal RNA", at positions 338 to 794 of the family's 1533-position model. Lineage: Bacteria; Bacillati; Chloroflexota; Anaerolineae. The record is from RNAcentral.